Molecule: small nucleolar RNA, 96 nt
Organism: Coffea arabica (coffee)
Lineage: Eukaryota; Viridiplantae; Streptophyta; Magnoliopsida; Gentianales; Rubiaceae
Product: small nucleolar RNA Z266
Source: RefSeq, a predicted model, not a curated record
GCAUUGCGAGGAUGAUGACAAAAUUAGAUGUGCGAGAGGUGAAUACCUCCAUGAACUCAACUUUCGAGGCUUAUUGAUAUCCUGACUUGCGUUUGC